UAUUGCGCAAUGGGGGAAACCCUGACGCAGCAACGCCGCGUGAGUGAGGAAGGUCUUCGGAUUGUAAAACUCUUUUAUUUGGGAAAAAUGUCUUUGUGGCUAAUAUCCAUGAAGAGUGAUGGUACCAAAGGAAUAAGCACCGGCUAACUUCGUGCCAGCAACCGCGGUAAUACGAAGGGUGCAAGCGUUGUUCGGAAUCAUUGGGCGUAAAGCGCGCGCAGGCGGAUCAGCAAGUCAGAUGUGAAAUCUCGAAGCUCAACUUCGAAACUGCGUCUGAAACUGCUAGUCUAG
RNAcentral lists this ribosomal RNA (291 nucleotides) under uncultured Bacteriovoracaceae bacterium. Its description in RNAcentral is "partial 16S ribosomal RNA". It matches the Rfam family "Bacterial small subunit ribosomal RNA", at positions 362 to 644 of the family's 1533-position model. The record is from RNAcentral. Lineage: Bacteria; Pseudomonadati; Bdellovibrionota; Bacteriovoracia; Bacteriovoracales; Bacteriovoracaceae.